ACAGUGAUGGUUCAAUGGCAGAAUUCUCAUCUUCCAUGUGGGAGAUCUGGGUUUGAUUCCCAGCUAAUGCG
This 71-nucleotide transfer RNA is filed under the name Loxodonta africana (African savanna elephant). It matches the Rfam family "tRNA". Rfam says of the family: Transfer RNA (tRNA) molecules are approximately 80 nucleotides in length. Lineage: Eukaryota; Metazoa; Chordata; Mammalia; Proboscidea; Elephantidae. The record is from Rfam by way of RNAcentral.